UAGGGAAUCUUCGGCAAUGGGGGCAACCCUGACCGAGCAACGCCGCGUGAGUGAAGAAGGUUUUCGGAUCGUAAAGCUCUGUUGUAAGUCAAGAACGAGUGUGAGAGUGGAAAGUUCACACUGUGACGGUAGCUUACCAGAAAGGGACGGCUAACUACGUGCCAGCAGCCGCGGUAAUACGUAGGUCCCGAGCGUUGUCCGGAUUUAUUGGGCGUAAAGCGAGCGCAGGCGGUUUGAUAAGUCUGAAGUUAAAGGCUGUGGCUCAACCAUAGUUCGCUUUGGAAACUGUCAAACUUGAGUGCAGAAGGGGAGAGUGGAAUUCCAUGUGUAGCGGUGAAAUGCGUAGAUAUAUGGAGGAACACCGGUGGCGAAAGCGGCUCUCUGGUCUGUAACUGACGCUGAGGCUCGAAAGCGUGGGGAGCGAACAGGAUUAGAUACCCUGGUAGUCCACGCCGUAACGAUGAGUGCUAGGUGUUGGAUCCUUUCCGGGAUUCAGUGCGGCAGCUAACGCAUUAAGCACUCCGCCUGGGGAGUACGACCGCAAGGUU
This 548-nucleotide ribosomal RNA is filed under the name uncultured bacterium. Its description in RNAcentral is "bacterial SSU rRNA". It matches the Rfam family "Bacterial small subunit ribosomal RNA", at positions 355 to 895 of the family's 1533-position model. The record is from RNAcentral.